UACGAAGGUGGCAAGCGUUACUCGGAAUUACUAGGCGUAAAGGGCAGGUAGGUGGUUUGGUAAGUCUAUUGUGAAAGCUCCCGGCUUAACUGGGAGAGGUCAAUGGAUACUGCCGAACUUGAGUAUAGGAGAGGUUACUGGAAUUCCCGGUGUAGCGGUGAAAUGCGCAGAGAUCGGGAGGAACACCAAUGGCGAAAGCAGGUAACUGGACUAUUACUGACACUCGGCUGCGAAAGCUAGGGGAGCAAACAGG
This 253-nucleotide ribosomal RNA is filed under the name uncultured bacterium. RNAcentral describes it as "partial 16S ribosomal RNA". It matches the Rfam family "Bacterial small subunit ribosomal RNA", at positions 524 to 776 of the family's 1533-position model. The record is from RNAcentral.